RNAcentral lists this ribosomal RNA (305 nucleotides) under uncultured bacterium. Its description in RNAcentral is "bacterial SSU rRNA". It matches the Rfam family "Bacterial small subunit ribosomal RNA", at positions 333 to 635 of the family's 1533-position model. The record is from RNAcentral.
UGUUCCCUACGGGGCGCAGCAGUGAGGAAUAUUGGUCAAUGGGCGGAAGCCUGAACCAGCCAAGUCGCGUGAGGGAAUAAGGCCCUACGGGGCGUAAACCUCUUUUGCCGGGGAGCAAGGGCCGGGACGCGUCCCGGCCCGGAGAGUACCCGGAGAAAAAGCAUCGGCUAACUCCGUGCCAGCAGCCGCGGUAAUACGGAGGAUGCGAGCGUUAUCCGGAUUUAUUGGGUUUAAAGGGUGCGUAGGCGGGCUUUUAAGUCAGCGGUAAAAAUUCGGGGCUAAACCCCGUCCGGCCGUGGAAACUG